This 348-nucleotide unclassified non-coding RNA is filed under the name soil metagenome. RNAcentral's name for it is "partial contains 5.8S ribosomal RNA, internal transcribed spacer 2, and large subunit ribosomal RNA". The stretch from base 1 to 120 matches the Rfam family "5.8S ribosomal RNA", at positions 35 to 154 of the family's 154-position model. The record is from RNAcentral.
GAUGAAGAACGCAGCGAAACGCGAUAGUUAAUGUGAAUUGCAGAAUUCAGUGAAUCAUCGAGUCUUUGAACGCACAUUGCGCCCCCUGGUAUUCCGGGGGGCAUGCCUGUCCGAGCGUCAUUGCCGCCCUCAAGCACGGCUUGUGUGUUGGGCCCCCGCCCCCCGGCUUCGGGGGGCGGGCCCGAAAGGCAGCGGCGGCACCGCGUCCGGUCCUCGAGCGUAUGGGGCUUCGUCACCCGCUCUGUAGGCCCGGCCGGCGCCCGCCGGCGACCCCAAUCAAUCUUUCCAGGUUGACCUCGGAUCAGGUAGGGAUACCCGCUGAACUUAAGCAUAUCGAUAAGCGGAGGA